UAAUUAUCCACGGCCUUUCAUCUUGCUUGCUGGGCGCCCACCACGUGUGCUCUUCAGAGGGGAGACGCUCAAGAUGCCUCCCGUAGCUGACCCAGAAGGGGUGCCCCAGAGGGCAGGGGCUCUGUCCUAUUCUCGACUGUGCAGCCUCAGGACCUGACCCCAAGGGGGCACCAGAUAUUUUUGCGCCCUUCUGAGAUUUGUGUCUGACAAACUCCAGAGCAAGGUGCCUCCUCUGGACACAGCGCCUGCCACCCUGGAGCAGGAUGCCGCGUGCUGUCUGGGACGCUCUCCUUAAUGGACAGGGAAUCUAAGGCCAAGGCGCUCGCCUGGCCGAGGUCCCCCUGUGGACAGGAAGGAUGUCACAGAGAAAUGGCUUGGCCUCCUGACCUUUCACCCUUAGAGCCAGUAUGUUACUCCUAAUAUACCAAAAUUCAUUAUUUUCCUGCCAACAAUCAUUACUAAAUAAUUGACUCACUUUCCUAUUUUUUAUUAAAGUCACAGACCUCCCA
Long non-coding RNA from Aethalodelphis obliquidens (Pacific white-sided dolphin), 509 nucleotides. RefSeq lists it as uncharacterized. Lineage: Eukaryota; Metazoa; Chordata; Mammalia; Artiodactyla; Delphinidae. The transcript is spliced from 2 exons. The record is from RefSeq and is a predicted model, not a curated record.